GAUGAACGCUGGCGGCGUGCUUAACACAUGCAAGUCGAACGAACCUUCGGGUUAGUGGCGGACGGGUGAGUAACGCGUGGGAAUCUGCCCUCAGGAGGGGGAUAACGGUUGGAAACGGCCGCUAAUACCCCAUAUGCCGAGAGGUGAAAUGAAUUUCGCCUGAGGAUGAGCCCGCGUCUGAUUAGCUAGUUGGUGAGGUAAGAGCUCACCAAGGCAUCGAUCAGUAGCUGGUCUGAGAGGAUGAUCAGCCACACUGGGACUGAGACACGGCCCAGACUCCUACGGGAGGCAGCAGUGGGGAAUUUUCCGCAAUGGGCGAAAGCCUGACGGAGCAACGCCGCGUGAGGGAUGAAGGCCUCUGGGCUGUAAACCUCUUUUAUCAAGGAAGAAGAUCUGACGGUACUUGAUGAAUAAGCCACGGCUAAUUCCGUG
This 432-nucleotide ribosomal RNA is filed under the name uncultured bacterium. Its description in RNAcentral is "bacterial SSU rRNA". It matches the Rfam family "Bacterial small subunit ribosomal RNA", at positions 28 to 507 of the family's 1533-position model. The record is from RNAcentral.